ACUUGAGGUCCUUGUUGAUUGUGGGAAAACUCCACCGCCGGGGUUCAAGUGUCCUGCCUAAGGUACUCAUGUGAUCGAUCUUAAGGUUUCUGCUACAUAUUGGCUUUUGAUUUUGAUAAUUUUCAGAAGUGUUCCAUUGAUUUUAUAAGCAUUGUUUAGGCAGCAGCUGCAUGAUGAUGAUGGGAUUUGCUGGAACUAAACAAAGUUGCGUGCUAGUGUACUGUUUGAUGUGAGGUUCUAGUCACUCUUAGCAAAAAUAACUUGGGAAUGUCUUAGUUUCUCACUGUCUGGCAAAUGGACAUACAUAUUUGAGGACCUGUUAAUUAAUGUUUGUUUGUUCUAAAGAAUGUAAGCUUAAUUAUGUUGAUUAAUCAAUACUUUUUUUUUUCUUGCUUAAAA
Molecule: unclassified non-coding RNA, 399 nt
Filed under: Hevea brasiliensis (rubber tree)
Lineage: Eukaryota; Viridiplantae; Streptophyta; Magnoliopsida; Malpighiales; Euphorbiaceae
Source: RNAcentral